AUUAAUUAUAUGAAAGAAUAAUAAACCACUUUGCAAACAAGACAAUAUACUAGAAUUUCUAGAACAUUUGCAGAUGAACCAACCCCUCUAAAUUUCUCUUGCUAAUUUAACUUAUUUUAGUAUUUCUUUUGUUAUCCAUAUCAUGUGGAGCCAUGCUAAUAUAGUUGUAAUUCCCUCGUUUGCGGUUAUCUUGUGUAGUAUUCUCAAUCCGAGAAUCCAAAUCAAAAGAUUACAAAUGUCAUAAAAAUAUGUGAUACACUUGUUUAUCAAUUUAAAUUAAGAAGGAAGAAGGAAAUGAUAAUUUGGAACAUAAACAUUAUAGGAUGCAUGGUAUUGAAAAAUAUUCCUUUGACUAUUUGUCAUAAACAAACACCAUCCUACUAUUACAUAUAUUAUUAUUUUUAACCAUGUGUGAAUAAAUUAUUCUAUGUAAAAGUUAGAACCAUAGUACAAUAAAUGCAUGUGUAAGAAUAUUAUUUUUUUUGGUGAAUGACAAGCAUGCAUGUGUAAGAAUGAAAAUGGACAAAGUGUUAAUUUCUACCUUCAUCUAAACACACCAUCUCAUUAACAUAAAUAGCUAGCUAUAGUAAAGUUCAUUCUUUUGGAAAAAAAAAUUAAAAUGGUGGAAAAGACACACGUUUAGCUAUAUAUAUUUCAAAUAAUUAAACAAUGGAAUAAUUUUUGGAAUAGACAUAUACCUGAUUCAUAUGUUAACGUAUACCUGAAUUUUUGUUUCCUUCCAUGCUCAAAUGCCUAACUUGUCUACUUUUUAUUCAAGCACCUCACAUGAAAAAUAUCUAUACAUACAAAAAGUGGUACUUUGCUAACUCCUUUUUUUAUGAAAGCUAGCUAUAAAGCAACACAAUAAGUGUCUUACCCUUUGCACAUUCUAUACAUGUUAAUUUUGGUUUGCAGCCACUUGAUGAAAUAACUAAAAUGACUUGUGUUUGUGUCUUUCUAUUUCAUUGUUACAUGAAUUUGUCUCUCACCAUAUGCAAAAGCUAUUGUAGGUGAGUAGUUGAAAUGGAAUAAUGCAACGAAAAUAACAGGGUCAUGGAGGGUUCUGACUUUUGGGCAUUAGAAUAUCAAUAUAACUACAUUUUGAAAGACAAAAAAGUUGAAGAUUCACCUUGGAAAGAAGAAAUGAAAGAUUCAAUUGCUCUUCUUUAUGUGUAAUUUACAAUCUUUCUUUGCUAUUAUAUCUUUAAACAUGAACUAAAUAUUUAUAUGAUUAGGAUGUAUAUGACCCUCUUUGAAUCUACGUAGUUUAGAAUAUUUAUUACUAUUUAUGCAAUUAAGAUUUAGUUUUAUUCA
Cicer arietinum (chickpea) is the source of this 1314-nucleotide long non-coding RNA. RefSeq lists it as uncharacterized. Lineage: Eukaryota; Viridiplantae; Streptophyta; Magnoliopsida; Fabales; Fabaceae. The record is from RefSeq and is a predicted model, not a curated record.